CGCAGGGAAACUGAGGCACGGCUUGGGGGAACGGGCAGGUGAUCGCCCUGAGCCUGCCGGCCCCUUGCUCCUGAGGGGAAGCUGAGGGACCAUGGCCUUUUCAAGGGGCAUCACCCCACCUUGAAGUUUAACAAGGACCCCACAGGUGUAAGGGGCGGGCUGGAGGCCUUUCCAGGCUGCUGGGGGCUUCGAGGUAUCUUUCCCAGCCCUUGGCCUUGGGAGGUCUCCGGGAGCCUUGAGGAGUGCGGAUAAGAAGAUCAAUCCAAGGCGAAGGAGUGGGAUAAGUGACUUGCCCAGGGUCACCCAGGCAGGAGGCGCAGAUUUAGCUGCUAAGCCACGCCCACAUCCCUGCAGGAAAAUGGAGGGCGGGGAGGCAGAAAGGCUGCAGUUGCAGGUGCCUACGCUGGGCCUCCCGCAUCCAGCGGAGAAACAGGAGCGCCGAAGAUGCCUCGACAGGCCCUCCAGGGUCGUGGGUUGUGGACCCCGGGCGGGAGUGGGAGUGGGACUGGAAAAGCUGGUGUAGGAAGGGUCUCUGGGGAAGCGCCAGCACCUGGAUGGCCACCAAGCCUGUACAGAGCCGCCUUCUCUAGGACUCUCUAAAGCUCUUGUCUCUGAGAGGAGAAACUGAGUCCCUUCCCCUCCCAAGCCCUGAACGGGGGCCAUCCUUACAAAGGAGGAAACUGAGGCACGGGAGGGGAAAGGCCCAGAGAUGCCAACAGCUGCUGCCGGGGGUGGGGAGGAGGGGACCAGACAGGGGACAGCCGGAGGCCCUAGCCAGGUGCCCUAGGACUGUCUUCUAGGGGGAGGAGGACCCUGGGGGGGACUGGGUGAGGUGGUUGCAGUGGAGGGCGAGGCUGGGAGGUCCCAACAUCCCAGAGUGAUCCAGGACUUCUACAGGAGCUGGGCUGGCUCUGCAGGAGGAAGGACCUCAUUGGAGGAGAGAUGCCAGUCAGCCAGCACUCAUUAACCGCCUGCUGUAUGCCAGGCAGUACUGGGGGUGGGGGGCAGAAGGUAGCACCUGAGCUCCACUCUAAGGCUCCAGGCUAAUGGGGAAUAGAGAGACUCGGCUCUCCUGGGAAGAAAGUCCCUUCCCCUGGGUGUUUGAUCUCUUUCUGGGUCAUUUAGAGAGUUGCAGCGAACUCUGACAGGUUCAGUAGGUCUUAGUCAGGGUCCCACACACAGCUGGCAUGUAUCAGAAGCAGGACUUGAACUCUGGACUUCUGGGCACAAAAACUGAUCCUUUUUCUUGAGACAAACACUGCCUCUAGAGAGACAGAAAGGAGGGGGGGUUCCAGACUUAGGAACUGGUCUACCCUGGAUGGCUCACUUAACUGUUUGACUCAGAACAGUAAACCAACCUUGUUGUGUCUGCCAAGAAAACCCUAAAUGUGGGACACAAAGGAAAUGACUGAACUGGGCAGAGCAAUACAUUUGGAAUUUUCGGGAAUGACCUGACCACAGCUCUACCCACAAUGUACUGGUUUUGUGACAGUUUUGGUUGACGUUUAUUUGGACAUUUUUUCAUAUGGCUGUUUAUAGAGUUCAGAUGUCUUCUUUUAAAAACUGCCUGCUUGGUGGUGGAGCACAGAGGGUCCAGGACCCAGCCAAGGAGUGGAGUGGGAUGGGAUCAGGAGGGGCAGGGUCUGAGGGAGUUGUACCCUGGUCAGACAACCAUCUACUGCUCAUCUCUCCUUGUUAUUUCUUGCUUUGGCUUUCAGGCUUGGGGCAGUGGUGCCCUUUCACCUGCUGGUCUCAUCCAAUCCUGAGCUUUCUUCAAGAUUCUUCUGGGCGCUUCCUCUCCUCCUCAUCCCCCUUCCUUGUUCCUGGGCUCUCUCCUUCCUCAAAUGAAUCCAGAAUGACUCCUGCGAAUAUGUGGUCCUCUCUCCUCCCCCAGGAGAAUGUCAGAAGUUCCUUGAGGACAAGGGCUAUUUGCUUCUCUAUACCCAGCCUAGCAGGGAGAGAAGGAAGGAAGGAAAGGGGAAAGGAACCAGCAUUUAUCAAAGCACCUAUUAUGUGUCAGGCACUGUGCUAAGCCCUUCACGAGUGUGACCUCACUGUAUAAAACUUGUAUGUCAGAGACACUUGCAGCUUGCUCGUCUGUCCUUGAAUGGAACAUGAGCAGACAGAAAGAUCGGGAGUGGCCAUGCUGGACGGUUGGUGUGUUCAGAAACUGACUGCAGAAGGGGACAGGAUCAUCCCAGAAUCAAGGGUCUUCGCACGGGCACGUGGAGGCGCCCAGAAGCGCUGUGAGGACAGCGAUGGAGAGUCAAGGAGGGGAGGAUGAUCCUUGAAGCUCUGGAAUUCUGGGACUGUGUCUCCAGUCCUCUAAAGGAUUUCUGGUAAGCUGAGGCAGCUCUCAGGAGGGCCUGGAUCUACGAGACCUCCUUGCUGGGGUGCCAGAGAGGAAACACCCUCUGUCCGUGACCCCCAUCUGUGCUUGCCAAGCCAUUGCUCUCCUGCUCCCUUGCAGGGGAGGGAUCCAUCCCAGGAAGAUGCAAACCACGGAAGAUGGCCCUGUGGCUACCCACGGCUCUCACAAGGGCCACAGGCCGUCCACAAGCAUCCUCUAAUGAGGGUGUGGGCCGGGCCAGGCACCGAGUCCUGGAACCCCUGCAGCGCUGCGGGCUGGAGGAAGCCAAGAAGAAAGAUUUGAGCUUGGGAAGGACCCGGCCUCGUGGAGACCAUCUGGAAGGCUCUGAAUGUGUUUUCUUUUUUACGCCUGAGCUCAGAUUGAGGAGGGCAGAUCCGGACAGACUAAGGAGCAGGAUUCCAAGGGAAGGAGACCAGGACCAGAGGAGGACAGAGCCCCACCGAAAUAUUGAUGAGCCCUUCUUGGGGCUAAGUGCUGGCCUCCAAGAGCUUUCGUGGCCAGUGUCUGUGGCAGAAGAAGAGGCAAAGAAGCCACAGAACUGGAAGUACGAGGGUCUGCCAGGACCUUCAGAUUGGGAGACUGGUCUGUGCUUCAGAGGAGGCAGCACGUGAGCUGAAUGUGAUGGAAAGACACAGGACAGUCCAUGCAAAGCCUCAGAGGAUGGAAAGAGAACGUCAAGUCCGGGGAAUGACUAGUGGGUCAGUUUGGCUUGGACAGUGAAUGGGUUAAAGGGCAGGGAGGGUGGGGAAGCUUUAAACAUUAGGCCAAAGAAAGAAACUAAGAAAGUGAGGAAGGAUAGCAAGGUGUAGCAUGCUGGAGUCAGAAAGACCUGAGUUCAAGUUUUGUCUUGGACACUGCCUAGCUAUGUGACCCUGGACAAGUCACUUCACCCUGUUUGUCUCGGGUUCCUCAUCGGUAAAGUGAGCUGGAGAGGGAAAUGGCAAGCUCUGCCAUGAGAAGAGUCUGCCAGCUCUGAAACAACCACCACACAGGUAGAAGGAGGACAGAGGAGGGAGAUUAACAUGACAGAGGCCAAUGAAGAGAAUACACAGGAGGGUGUCUGACAGGAGGGUGUCUGACAGCAUCAGAAUCACAGAGACGUACGGAAGAUGGAACCUGACCUGCCGGUGAAGAGUACGUUGGUAGCCCUGCAAAGAGCAGUUCCAGCUGAAUGCUGAAGUGGUAGCUACUCUUCUUCCCAGUUUACAUUUGGGGAAACUGAGGCAAUGACAAGGACAGGCUUUUGAAAGAGGUAGGGGAGACCUAGGCAGGUUAGCAGGAGAUAACAGGAGAAGAGUAAAAAUGGGAGAAUGAGGAGAGAUGGUCGGGGGGAGCUGCUGGAGAAGCAUGGAGGGGCCUGAAUGGGGCAUUGCCCUUGGUAAGGAGAAAUGCCACCUCUUCCUCAGGACUGGAACGAAGGAGUGCAGACUGGGGAGGAGGAGGGGGAGCUCCUCCUAGAGGGCUUCUGUUCCUUCAGGGAAGCAGGAAGCCAGGCCUUCCUUCUGCGAAUGUGGAGAGGCCUGGGAUGCCAGCUGUGGGAAGAGUCAAUAGGGGAGAAUGAAAUGAAAGCAUUGUGAUGCAGGCCGAGCUAGAAUGAGGUGACAGCUCGGUAGGGGAGCCAGCCAGGACCCCCGAGGGUGCUCCUGCCUGGGGACUCAGCAGGGAGGAAUGAGGAAUCCAAGGCAAGACAACAGGUGGAAGGGAGCGGUCAGUGAUGGAAGAAGGUUCCCGAAGAGCAAAGGCAACGGCUUGGAGGAAGCCAUCCGGACUUGCGGGGAUGCUGAGCGGAAAUAAUCCGUCCAAGAAGAGGGAGGCUCUGAGCAGGGAGAGAAAUCUUAACGCUCCUCGUCAUGCAAGUGGCCUGUUCAUGGCUGACCAGACAGCAGAGGAGGGCGGAGAGCCCCAACAAGGACUGGUUCUGGGCAAGAUGCCGUAAUGCAAGGAAAGGGAACCCUUUGUCUUGCCCUCAGGGAGCUCGCGAUCUCCUGGGAAAGACAGGAUGGAAAAAUAACGGGAUGCAGAAGAGAUUCACCCAGUAGGUGAGAAGGGAAAGGAUUGAAUCUCCCAAGACAGUGGCUGAAUCACAGGAUCGAGCAGGAGUCUCGGCCCUUACUGGGGGGAAGUGGGGGAGCUCGCAUCCGUGUCUCUAAUCUCCGGGGGCUUAAGUCCGAGACUGCUCUCCCCGGGGACCCAGAUGGUGUGGGUGGGGGCGUAUGACCCAGGGCAGGUGGGGAAACGCUUUGUAACUUCUGUUCCAGACUCAUCUUUGAUGUUAAUGGGUGGCUAAUGUUCGGGAGAACCCCUGGAAUGGGGGCUGGAGAGCCUGGCAUUAGAACUGAACCCAGAGGGGCAGACGAGGACAGCUUCCCUCUGGGAGAGGAAAUUCAGAGUCUCGCUGUAGGUGGGCCUUGUUUGGAAUAAAAUCCAGCCGCGGGCGUUUGGAGGGAGCCCCUGGAAAGCUCUCCAUCCAGGACUUUCAUUGCUGCAUACUCUAGCUCUGUCAGUCAGGCCAAGAAGCAUUUAUUGAGCACCUACUGUGUGCUGGGCCAAAGGCUAACUGGUGGGGACGGGCGCUGGCUGAAGGGAUCCAUUAGACAAAAACGGGCGAUUUCUUCUCUCCCAUUGGAGCGUUUCCUUUGGAGAGCUUGUUCCAGAUGCUGGUCUUCGCUGGCCUUGGCUGAACCUUCAGACACCGAUGGAUUGAUCUCGGGGCCAGUAGGAGGAGGUGGCCUCGGCAUUCCAAAGGGUGGCACCCAGCUCUCCUGGCAGCAGGGCAGAGGUCCCGGCCUCGGGAAUGGGGAGCCCCAGCAGAGGGGAUGGGAAGCGGACUGGAGGAAGUGUCCAAGGUGUGUUCUGCCCCCCUCUCUUGUUGCCAUUACAGUCCAUGGGGGUCCCUGGACAGCUUCUUCACAGGAAGGAUCUAUUGCAUCCAGAUUGGCAUUUUGGGAAACGGCUUGUUUGUGGCCACAGAGAGGGGAGGGGAUUCCCCUCUGUCCAGCCUCGACAGUCCCUCAGCAUAAGUAAGAUUGGAGAGAUUUGCUAUUCCCAUCCUGGACCCCCCCUUCCAGUGACCAUGAGCCCCCCCGGAAGGGAAACGAACCUUGAGUGGGAGGGGGAGGUGGCAGCACAAUUGGAGCCUUGGAAUCCACCUUGACACUGGCAUGGGCUGGGCUAAGAAGAAGGUCAAUGGCCUCUUCUCCCUUCCUACAGAUGACCCCGACCCGGGAGGAGAACCAAAGACCACAUAAGUGGGCUCUUGGGCUGCUGGUGUCUCCUUUCCUGCCGCCAUCCCUUCACAUCAGGAGAUCCUCCGUGACCUGGGAAGACUGGGCAUCACCUUGGCAUCGACCAGGUCCUGGUCUCGGUCUUUCUAAAGGGAGGAGGAGGAGUCAGGAUUCUGGCCUUGGUUUUCUUCCCUCUUCCUUCCUCCCUCCAGGUCUUCUUACAUGGCUUGGCGCCUUUCUUUA
This is a non-coding RNA of Monodelphis domestica (gray short-tailed opossum), 5838 nucleotides long. The record is from RefSeq and is a predicted model, not a curated record. NCBI's taxonomy places the organism in Eukaryota, Metazoa, Chordata, Mammalia, Didelphimorphia, Didelphidae.